This 216-nucleotide long non-coding RNA is filed under the name Lathyrus oleraceus (garden pea). RNAcentral's name for it is "Pisum sativum (pea) long non-coding RNA (PSAT_LNC042241)". The record is from RNAcentral. Lineage: Eukaryota; Viridiplantae; Streptophyta; Magnoliopsida; Fabales; Fabaceae.
AGAAGACUGCUAUAUAUGGAGUUGUAUGCUUGGAUAUGGCUAUCUUUAUUUGAUGCCUUGAUCUUCAUGAUGUCUGAUGUUGCUAAUUGCCUGAUUAAUUAUUGCUUGAUUCAAAGUCCAAAGGGAAAAUAGGUUUUCUAUAUGACAUUCUUGUCUGUUGGAUUGCAUCCCAUUUGUCAGAUCUUUUCAACUCUUAACUUUUAAUUUUAUGCUUAG